AGAACGAACGCUGGCGGCAUGCCUAACACAUGCAAGUCGAACGAACCCUUCGGGGUUAGUGGCGCACGGGUGCGUAACGCGUGGGAAUCUGCCCUUUGCUUCGGAAUAACAGUUAGAAAUGACUGCUAAUACCGGAUAAUGUCGCAAGACCAAAGAUUUAUCGGCAAGGGAUGAGCCCGCGUAGGAUUAGCUUGUUGGUGAGGUAAAAGCUCACCAAGGCGACGAUCCUUAGCUGGUCUGAGAGGAUGAUCAGCCACACUGGGACUGAGACACGGCCCAGACUCCUACGGGAGGCAGCAGUGGGGAAUAUUGGACAAUGGGCGAAAGCCUGAUCCAGCAAUGCCGCGUGAGUGAUGAAGGCCCUCGGGUCGUAAAGCUCUUUUACCAGGGAUGAUAAUGACAGUACCUGGAGAAUAAGCUCCGGCUAACUCCGUGCCAGCAGCCGC
RNAcentral lists this ribosomal RNA (446 nucleotides) under uncultured bacterium. RNAcentral describes it as "SSU rRNA". It matches the Rfam family "Bacterial small subunit ribosomal RNA", at positions 26 to 518 of the family's 1533-position model. The record is from RNAcentral.